Molecule: ribosomal RNA, 801 nt
Filed under: uncultured bacterium
Lineage: Bacteria
Description: bacterial SSU rRNA
Rfam family: Bacterial small subunit ribosomal RNA
Source: RNAcentral
GGUAACAUGAGAGCUUGCUCUUGAUGACGACCGGCGCACGGGUGCGUAACGCGUAUGCAACCUACCCACAACUGGAGCAUAGCCCGGAGAAAUUCGGAUUAAUACUCCAUAAUGCAGGGGUACCUCCUGGUACUAUUUGCUAAAGAUUUAUCGGUUGUGGAUGGGCAUGCGUCUGAUUAGUUUGUUGGUGAGGUAACGGCUCACCAAGACCACGAUCAGUAGGGGGUCUGAGAGGAUGAUCCCCCACACUGGCACUGAGAUACGGGCCAGACUCCUACGGGAGGCAGCAGUAGGGAAUAUUGGGCAAUGGGCGAAAGCCUGACCCAGCCAUGCCGCGUGAAGGAUGAAGGCCUUCUGGGUUGUAAACUUCUUUUAUAUAGGAAGAAAAAGGUCAUGCGUGACCAAUUGACGGUACUAUAUGAAUAAGCACCGGCUAACUCCGUGCCAGCAGCCGCGGUAAUACGGAGGGUGCAAGCGUUGUCCGGAUUUAUUGGGUUUAAAGGGUGCGUAGGCGGUCCGUUAAGUCAGUGGUGAAAUCCAGCAGCUCAACUGCUGAACUGCCAUUGAUACUGGCGGACUUGAGUACGGACGAGGUAGGCGGAAUUUAUGGUGUAGCGGUGAAAUGCAUAGAUACCAUAAAGAACACCGAUAGCGAAGGCAGCUUACUAGACCGUAACUGACGCUCAGGCACGAAAGCGUGGGGAGCGAACAGGAUUAGAUACCCUGGUAGUCCACGCCGUAAACGAUGAUCACUCGAUGUGUGCAAUACACCGUACGCGUCCAAGCGAAAGCGUUAAGUGA